RNAcentral lists this ribosomal RNA (499 nucleotides) under uncultured bacterium. RNAcentral's name for it is "bacterial SSU rRNA". It matches the Rfam family "Bacterial small subunit ribosomal RNA", at positions 427 to 916 of the family's 1533-position model. The record is from RNAcentral.
AAACCACUGUCAGUGGGAAAGAUGGGUGUCGGGGCUAAUACCUCCGGCAUCUGACGGUACCUGCAGAGGAAGCCCCGGCCAACUCUGUGCCAGCAGCCGCGGUAAGACAGAGGGGGCAAGCGUUGCUCGGAAUUACUGGGCGUAAAGGGCGCGUAGGCGGGAUGGCAAGUCGGUCGUGAAAUCCCUCGGCUCAACCGAGGAACGUCGAUCGAUACUGCUGUUCUUGAGGAUUGCAGAGGAGACUGGAAUUCCCGGUGUAGCGGUGAAAUGUGUAGAGAUCGGGAGGAACACCGGUGGCGAAGGCGGGUCUCUGGGCAAUUCCUGACGCUGAGGCGCGAAAGCGUGGGGAGCAAACGGGAUUAGAUACCCCGGUAGUCCACGCUGUAAACGAUGACGACUAGGUGUGGGGGGGUUCAGUCCCUUCCGUGCCGCAGCUAACGCAUUAAGUCGUCCGCCUGGGGAGUACGGCCGCAAGGUUGAAACUCAAAGGAAUUGACGG